AUUGAACGCUGGCGGCGUGCCUAACACAUGCAAGUCGAGCGGUAACAGGCGUAGCAAUACGUGCUGACGAGCGGCGAACGGGUGAGCAAUGCUUCGGAAUCUACCCUCUGGUGGGGAAUAACCAGCCGAAAGGUUGGCUAAUACCGCAUACGACCUACGGGUGAAAGCAGGGGAUCGCAAGACCUUGCGCCAAUGGAUGAGCCGAAGUCGGAUUAGCUAGUUGGUAGGGUAACGGCCUACCAAGGCGACGAUCCGUAGCUGGUCUGAGAG
Molecule: ribosomal RNA, 270 nt
Filed under: uncultured bacterium
Lineage: Bacteria
Description: partial 16S ribosomal RNA
Rfam family: Bacterial small subunit ribosomal RNA
Source: RNAcentral